Molecule: ribosomal RNA, 408 nt
Filed under: uncultured archaeon
Lineage: Archaea
Description: partial 16S ribosomal RNA
Source: RNAcentral
AAAAAAAACAGGUGCAUGGCACUCGUAUUGUUGACGUAACGCAGACGAUGCAACUGUGUGGUGAAGCCGAUGGCUUCUAUACCACCCAACCCGGCAUUCUACUCAGCGUGUUAACGGCAGACUGUCUGCGGUGAUUUUCAGCCGCAAAGACGGCUCGGCCAUUGCUGCCGUACAUGCCGGCUGGCGUGGCCUGUUGGACGGCAUUCUGGAGCAACUGGCGGCGCGUAUCAGCCGUGAUGACUCAACGGCUCAUUGGGUGGCUUCCAUCGGCCCUGCUGCCGGCCCCUGCUGUUACGAGGUUAACGAAGAGCUGGUCGCACGGUUCAAGCAACAGUUGCCACUGCCUGCGGCCUUGAUCAGCCCCCACUAUCGCCACCUGGAUCUGGCCGCCAUUGCCGAAUCCAAACU